This 229-nucleotide ribosomal RNA is filed under the name uncultured bacterium. RNAcentral describes it as "partial 16S ribosomal RNA". It matches the Rfam family "Bacterial small subunit ribosomal RNA", at positions 568 to 796 of the family's 1533-position model. The record is from RNAcentral.
CAUGUAGGCGGUUAGGUAAGUGUGGAUUUAAAGGCGCAGGCUCAACCUGUUGCAUGGUCUGCAAACUACCCGACUUGAGUUUGGGAUGGGAGACUGGAAUUCCACGUGUAGGGGUGAAAUCUGUAGAGAUGUGGAAGAAUACCGAUGGCGAAGGCAAGUCUCUGGCCUGAAACUGACGCUGAGAUGCGAAAGUGUGGGGAGCGAACAGGAUUAGAUACCCUGGUAGUCC